RNAcentral lists this ribosomal RNA (680 nucleotides) under uncultured bacterium. RNAcentral describes it as "bacterial SSU rRNA". It matches the Rfam family "Bacterial small subunit ribosomal RNA", at positions 140 to 807 of the family's 1533-position model. The record is from RNAcentral.
GGGAUAACACUUGGAAACGGGUGUUAAUACCGCAUAACCAUAGUUACCGCAUGGUAACUAUGUAAAAGGUGGCUAUGCUACCGCUUUUGGAUGGGCCCGCGGCGCAUUAGCUAGUUGGUGGGGUAAAGGCUUACCAAGGCAAUGAUGCGUAGCCGAACUGAGAGGUUGAUCGGCCACAUUGGGACUGAGACACGGCCCAAACUCCUACGGGAGGCAGCAGUAGGGAAUCUUCCACAAUGGGCGAAAGCCUGAUGGAGCAACGCCGCGUGGGUGAAGAAGGUCUUCGGAUCGUAAAACCCUGUUGUUAGAGAAGAAAGUGCGUGAGAGUAACUGUUCACGUUUCGACGGUAUCUAACCAGAAAGCCACGGCUAACUACGUGCCAGCAGCCGCGGUAAUACGUAGGUGGCAAGCGUUAUCCGGAUUUAUUGGGCGUAAAGGGAACGCAGGCGGUCUUUUAAGUCUGAUGUGAAAGCCUUCGGCUUAACCGGAGUAGUGCAUUGGAAACUGGGAGACUUGAGUGCAGAAGAGGAGAGUGGAACUCCAUGUGUAGCGGUGAAAUGCGUAGAUAUAUGGAAGAACACCAGUGGCGAAAGCGGCUCUCUGGUCUGUAACUGACGCUGAGGUUCGAAAGCGUGGGUAGCAAACAGGAUUAGAUACCCUGGUAGUCCACGCCGUAAAC